Molecule: ribosomal RNA, 111 nt
Filed under: uncultured bacterium
Lineage: Bacteria
Description: partial 16S ribosomal RNA
Source: RNAcentral
CCUUCGGGUUGUAAAGCACUUUUGGUUCGGAACGGAAACGGUUCGUAGUGACGAACUUAACAGUCAGCUAAUGACGGUACCCGGAAGAAUAAGCACCGGCUAACUACGUGC